Molecule: long non-coding RNA, 301 nt
Filed under: Brassica napus (rape)
Lineage: Eukaryota; Viridiplantae; Streptophyta; Magnoliopsida; Brassicales; Brassicaceae
Description: long non-coding RNA (BNAP_LNC024580)
Source: RNAcentral
UUAGUCACCUUCACUGAUUAUACAAAUAAACUUUCAUUUGGAUCAAUGGUUGUAUUAAAUUGUGUAUGAAUCUUGUAAAAUACUUAUGAUAUCAGUUACAAAAAAAAAAAAAAAACUUAUGAUAUCAAUAUAUAUUCUGAUUUUGUCGAAAAAAUAAACUUUCAUUAAAUCAGUCAUCAUAUGUAUGCAUUAGAUAGCAUAUAACUUGCAUGUGGUCUAGAAUAUCGAUCAUCAUUUUCCAUACGUGGCAUAGUAGGACCCCACGCUAUCAAAAGCCUAUAAGUUAUUUACACACCCCACC